Lynx canadensis (Canada lynx) is the source of this 1936-nucleotide long non-coding RNA. RefSeq lists it as uncharacterized. NCBI's taxonomy places the organism in Eukaryota, Metazoa, Chordata, Mammalia, Carnivora, Felidae. The record is from RefSeq and is a predicted model, not a curated record. The transcript is spliced from 2 exons.
CUGGUGAGAACAUGGAUACUCAGAGAAGGAGUGCAAGCCACAGAGUAAACGGAGCCAUAAACUUGGUCUUUCUGCUUCCGUGCCUGGUUCUUCCCCAUUGUUGUGAUUCCGUUUGGAUCAGUUCAACACUUACUGGCAGUGCCUGCCUGCCUGGCGGCGGGUGAGGUCCCAGCCCUCACAGACCUCUCCCAACCAGGGGAAAACUAGGUGUGGUCCCGCCCACCCACGCUGUGUACAGCCCGCAGUAUGAAUACAGAAGAGGGAAGGCUGUCGCUGCCAGAGGAAGUCUGAGCUGAGCCUUGCCCACCGAAAGGAGGAAGGACAUUUCCCAGCCAAAGGACUGGAAUAGUAAAGUGCUAAGGCCGGAAUCCUGGCCUACUGAAGAAGCCUCAGGAAUUUCUCUGUGCCUGAGCGUGGACCAGAGAAGGGCUCCCUGGGAAAGAGAGAACUUCCUGGAGAGGAAAUGUGCAAGAGUCCGGAGCAUCUUAUACGAGAAAGCAAGAAAAACCAAUUUGAGACGAUGCAGGUGUGUGUCAAAAGGAUCCAGGAGCCAAACUACAAAGGCUCUCGCGGGCCAAAGCCGAGAUAAUGCGAGCAUCCGUGAAUAAUUCCAAGGGGUUGGAACCCUGAACAUUUUCGUCCGUGAGUUCAUAAUGAUGACUUCAAAACAAAACAAGACAAAACACCUGAAUAAUCAUCCUUGAAGAAUGCUAGGGAGCCAGCUCAUUUUACAAACUAGUAAACAAAGUAUAGGCCAUUUCUUAGAUUGUUCUCCAUGCAGGCUGGAGGCGGCGUGGAGAGCAGGGCUGGUCAAACAGGCAGAACGUGGCCAGGUAGGCCAGGGCAGAGGUAGAAUGGUGCCCUGGGACCUCGACGUACAUAAACACAAUGCCUCUAUUGCACAAACUAACUGAAGAGUUGGGUGGGAGCUCUUUCUAGCAGUUUCCUAAUAGAUGAAGAAGGAACAGUAGGAUUAAGAUCAGUAUUGCAGUUCCUCAGGAAGUCAUGGACCUAGGCAGGCAUCGGCGGCAGCCACUCACAACACAAACGCUGGCCCCUCUGUUGUAUUUGACCUACAUCACACGGCAAGGUCGGUGGUGCAACUUUGGUUGGUGACACAGAGCCAGGUGGGGACUCCUUGCCCCACAGCAAUGAGAACCUGCCUCCUGUGUCUGGUCAAGCCUCUAAGUGCCUGUUUACAGCUGUGCAGAAAAGAGCCAACAGCUGGCCUGAGGCUUCUAUCCCUAGAAAAGCCUGCCUGCAACGUUGGUCGUUGGCUGGCGUCUGGGAACAUGGUUUAUUUAGCAAGUGUUCGCACCAUCCUCUAACUGGUGAGGGUGGUUUCCUGUCCUCAGACUGUACAACCUGUUAUGCUGAGCAUCUGUUUUCUAUCUGGAAGUCUAGAAUUUUGGUACGCGCUGAGCAGGGGGUACCUACGUGACCAGCCCCCGAUAAAAACCUUGGGCCUCGAGUCUGAUGACCUUCCCUGGUAGACAGUUCCGUACAUGUGUCGUCACAAUUCAGUGCUGAAAGGCUUCAGCGUGUCCUGUGUGACUCCACCGGGACAGGACUCUGUGUCCUUUCACCAUAAUAGACCAUGGCUGCGAGUACAACUAUAUGUCAAGUGCCAUGAGGCCUCCCGGCAGGCCAUCGAACCUGGGGGCGGCCAACGGCUCAACACGACAGGAAAUACAGGAGACAGAGAAGCAUCCUGGCACCAUCACGAGGAUCCUGGCAACAAAAUCUAAAAUGUGAGCGACGCUACAGGACAAAGGGCUUACUCCUGUCAACAGAUAAAUUAUAAGAAAAAUAAGAAAGGUGACCCUACAGAUUAAUAGAGAUUUAAAAGAGCUAACAAUCAACAGCAAGGUUGCGAAUCUUCUCUGGAUCCUGUUGUGAUGAAAUUGUAAAAAAAAAAAAAAAAAAAAAAAAAAAA